GGAAUAUUGGGCAAUGGAGGAAACUCUGACCCAGCGACGCCGCGUGCGGGAUGAAGGCCUUCGGGUUGUAAACCGCUUUCAGCAGGGAAGAAGCGAAAGUGACGGUACCUGCAGAAGAAGCACCGGCUAACUAUGUGCCAGCAGCCGCGGUAAUACAUAGGGUGCAAGCGUUGUCCGGAAUUAUUGGGCGUAAAGAGCUCGUAGGUGGUUCGUCACGUCGGAUGUGAAACUCUGGGGCUUAACCCCAGACCUGCAUUCGAUACGGGCGAGCUUGAGUAUGGUAGGGGAGUCUGGAAUUCCUGGUGUAGCGGUGGAAUGCGCAGAUAUCAGGAGGAACACCAAUGGCGAAGGCAGGACUCUGGGCCGUUACUGACACUGAGGAGCGAAAGCGUGGGGAGCGAACAGGAUUAGAUACCCUGGUAGUCCACGCCGUAAACGGUGGGCACUAGUUGUGGGGACCUUCCACGGUCUCUGCGACGCAGCUAACGCAUUAAGUGCCCCGCCUGGGGAGUACGAUCGCAAGAUUAAAACUCAAAGGAAUUGACGG
RNAcentral lists this ribosomal RNA (547 nucleotides) under uncultured bacterium. Its description in RNAcentral is "bacterial SSU rRNA". It matches the Rfam family "Bacterial small subunit ribosomal RNA", at positions 358 to 916 of the family's 1533-position model. The record is from RNAcentral.